CCUUAAACAGUAAUUAUGACCAAGUAAGUUAUCAAGAACAUAAUUAAGCUUUCUACUAAAGUAAUUAAUUAUCAUAACUAAAUGUCAUGAGUAUAAGAUUUGUCUGAGCAUAAAUAAAUACUUAACCAAAGGAUAAGGUUUUAGGCUGUUAGUUAUUUCUGUUUAGUCAGUUAGAUUGGUUUUUUCUAUUAGUAUUUCUGUUAGUUUGUUUUGCAGUCUUAUAUAAGCAACAGAAUGGGAACAGUUUAGAAUCAAAUCCAUGUAGCUUGGAGAAGAUUAGCAUGGAUAACAAAACUACAUCUGUAAGCAAAAAGAAUGAACAUGAGAAGCAGCCAUAUCACUGCUUUCUUCUGGUGGGAUGAAUAAAAGAAUGCAAAAUGAAAAGCAGCCAUAUCACUGCAAAAAGAAUGAACAUGAGAAGCAGCCACCACGUUGUUCUGUGGUAAAUGAAAACGAGGAGAAUCCAUGACCACGAUCUUCUUCAUCUUGUCUAAGACAUCCAAUUCAGUUAGGACAACUUCAUUGGAAGGGUUUGCCAAACACAUACACUGGUCUUCAUCACAGUCCUUUUCUCGUGAUUCGUCCAGUUGGAUUAGGGAAUUUAAAUCACAGAAGUGGCGGCAUAUACAUCCCUCAUUACCAAAUUGAUAUUGACAAAUUGAUUAGGUUUUCAUUUGGUAUUUCUGUUUCCUAAUGUCUGUUAUGCUUACAGAAUAACUGUAAUAUGGGGUAUGCUUUCAUCAAUAUGCUCUCUCAUUCACACGUCGUCCCUUUUUAUAAGGCUUUUCAUGAGAAGAAAUGGGAAAAGUUUACUAGUGACAAAGUUGCUACAAGGAAAGGCUGAAGAACUUGCUAAGCAUUCUGAGAAAAGGAUGCACAAGCCUAAGAAAAUAAUGAUCAGGAACUAUUUGCAUCCAGCAACUUGAAUAUAUGAAUAUAUGUCUACGUCAACCGGAUGGAUCGUGCUCAAGUGAAUUUGUUGGAGAAUUCCAAUGGCAUUUUGGAUGAGAUGCUUGAGAAUG
Long non-coding RNA from Trifolium pratense (red clover), 1022 nucleotides. RefSeq lists it as uncharacterized. Lineage: Eukaryota; Viridiplantae; Streptophyta; Magnoliopsida; Fabales; Fabaceae. The transcript has 3 exons. The record is from RefSeq and is a predicted model, not a curated record.